Scophthalmus maximus (turbot) is the source of this 390-nucleotide long non-coding RNA. RefSeq lists it as uncharacterized. The record is from RefSeq and is a predicted model, not a curated record. Lineage: Eukaryota; Metazoa; Chordata; Actinopteri; Pleuronectiformes; Scophthalmidae. The transcript is spliced from 4 exons.
UCUCACAGGGAUGUUUGGGAUAUUUAAUGGACAGUCCUCAACUCCAGACAUACGGCCCUCUGCGGUUACAGUGCAAACUCAUUUGUCUUUGCAGAGCAAGCCGAGAUGUUGGAUUCACCUCGGGGACAAAAUGUACGGCAAUACUUUCCUAAAGCUGAAUUUACAGUUCUGCGUUGAGGGUAGAUGACGCCGCUACAAAACUGAGUUAACAUUACCCCCGCGGCCGUGCACCUCACUGUGCUCCAGGCCACCACUCACAGUUGCUGUUUCCUACAUUCCUAUGGUCAUCCAUGUAUUGCAAUUUUUUCAACCGGCUCCUGGACAAGUAUGAAAACCAGCAUCCCAUUGUCUUGACUGUUUAUCAGAGUUUCAGUGAAUAAAACAAUCGUG